CCUACGGGAGGCAGCAGUGAGGAAUAUUGGUCAAUGGCCGGAAGGCUGAACCAGCCAUGCCGCGUGAAGGGCAGAGCCCUAGGGGCGUUAAACUUCUUGUGUGGGGGAGCAAGAAUGGUCACGUGGGGCCAGACGAGAGUACCGUACGAAUAAGCAGCGGCUAACUCCGGGCCAGCAGCCGCGGUAAUACGGUGGAUGCAAGCGUUAGCCGGAUUUCUUGGGUUUAAAGGGUGCGUAGGCUGUGAGGUAAGUCAGCGGUGAAAUGCCCCCGCUCAACGGGGUGAAGUGCCAUUGAUACUGCCUUGCUGGACUGCGGAUGCCUUGGGCGUCAUGUGUGUUGUAGCGG
This 346-nucleotide ribosomal RNA is filed under the name uncultured bacterium. Its description in RNAcentral is "partial 16S ribosomal RNA". It matches the Rfam family "Bacterial small subunit ribosomal RNA", at positions 338 to 681 of the family's 1533-position model. The record is from RNAcentral.